Molecule: ribosomal RNA, 253 nt
Filed under: uncultured bacterium
Lineage: Bacteria
Description: partial 16S ribosomal RNA
Rfam family: Bacterial small subunit ribosomal RNA
Source: RNAcentral
UACGUAGGGGGCUAGCGUUGUCCGGAAUCAUUGGGCGUAAAGAGCGCGUAGGCGGCCAGAUAAGUCCGGUGUGAAAGUCAAAGGCUCAACCUUUGAAUGCCGCUGGAAACUGUCUGGCUAGAGUCCGGGAGGGGCGAGUGGAAUUCCUGGUGUAGCGGUGAAAUGCGCAGAUAUCAGGAGGAACACCGAUGGCGAAGGCAGGUCUCUGGGCAUUAACUGACGCUGAGGAGCGAAAGCAUGGGGAGCGAACAGG